GACGAACGCUGGCGGCGUGCUUAACACAUGCAAGUCGAGCGGUAAGGCCCUUUCGGGGGUACACGAGCGGCGAACGGGUGAGUAACACGUGGGUGACCUGCCCUCAGCUCUGGGAUAAGCCUGGGAAACCGGGUCUAAUACUGGAUAUGACUCCAUGACGCAUGUUGUGGGGUGGAAAGCCUUGUGCGGCUGAGGAUGGGGCCCGCGGCCUAUCAGCUUGUUGGUGGGGUGANGGCCUACCAAGGCGACGACGGGUAGCCGGCCUGAGAGGGCGACCGGCCACACUGGGACUGAGACACGGCCCAGACUCCUACGGGAGCAGCAGUGGGGAAUCUUGCGCAAUGGGCGAAAGCCUGACGCAGCGACGCCGCGUGAGGGAUGACGGCCUGGUU
Molecule: ribosomal RNA, 392 nt
Filed under: uncultured bacterium
Lineage: Bacteria
Description: bacterial SSU rRNA
Rfam family: Bacterial small subunit ribosomal RNA
Source: RNAcentral